ACUGACCUUUCCAAUACAGUGGAAAAGAGAUGACCAGAGUUUUCAGAAUAAAUGAAAACAAACCAAAUGAGAACAGGCAAGGUAUCUUUAUUUAGAGCUAGCAACAGCAAAAGAGUCAGCCAUCAUCACUCGCAUUUUGGCAGAGACUGAAAGGCAGGCAGAGGAGCAGGAAAGUUUUAUAGCAAAACAAAGGGAAGGCUUCAGGCUACAUUCUUGAGGUGGCUCCUGCUGUGGAAACAGUGGGCAGAAUGUACAUUCCAAGAACAGGGGAAGGAGUGAGGAGCCUCCAGUGGUCCAUGUCCACCUGUGCCUGGGUCAGCCAGGUCACAUCCUCUUAAUGACCUCUGGCAUGAAGACAUUGUGUCAACCCUUUGAGAAAGCAUGAUCUUCAUUUGAAGAGGAUAAAGCAGAGUGC
This is a long non-coding RNA of Lutra lutra (Eurasian river otter), 415 nucleotides long. RefSeq lists it as uncharacterized. NCBI's taxonomy places the organism in Eukaryota, Metazoa, Chordata, Mammalia, Carnivora, Mustelidae. The record is from RefSeq and is a predicted model, not a curated record. The transcript has 3 exons.